ACUCCUACGGGAGGCAGCAGUGGGGAAUAUUGCACAAUGGGGAAACCCUGAUGCAGCCAUGCCGCGUGUGUGAAGAAGGCCUUCGGUUGUAAGCACUUUCAGUAGGGAGGAAGGUAGUGUAGUUAACACCUGCAUUAUUUGACGUUACCUACAGAAGAAGCACCGGCUAACUCCGUGCCAGCAGCCGCGGUAAUACGGAGGGUGCGAGCGUUAAUCGGAAUUACUGGGCGUAAAGCGCAUGCAGGCGGCCUGUUAAGUCAGAUGUGAAAGCCCGGGGCUUAACCUCGGAAUUGCAUUUGAAACUGGCAGGCUAGAGUCUUGUAGAGGGGGUAGGAAUUUCAGGUGUAGCGGUGAAAUGCGUAGAGAUCUGAAGGAAUACCAGUGGCGAAGGCGGCCCCUCGGACAAAGACUGACGCUCAGAUGCGAAAGCGUGGGAGCAAACAGGAUUAGAUACCCUGGUAGACUGUCA
Molecule: ribosomal RNA, 469 nt
Filed under: uncultured bacterium
Lineage: Bacteria
Description: bacterial SSU rRNA
Rfam family: Bacterial small subunit ribosomal RNA
Source: RNAcentral